Molecule: ribosomal RNA, 482 nt
Filed under: uncultured bacterium
Lineage: Bacteria
Description: partial 16S ribosomal RNA
Rfam family: Bacterial small subunit ribosomal RNA
Source: RNAcentral
AUUGAACGCUGGCGGCAUGCUUUACACAUGCAAGUCGAACGGUAACAGGCCGCCAGGUGCUGACGAGUGGCGAACGGGUGAGUAAUGCAUCGGAACGUGCCCAGUCGUGGGGGAUAACUACUCGAAAGAGUAGCUAAUACCGCAUACGAUCUAUGGAUGAAAGCGGGGGACCGUAAGGCCUCGCGCGAUUGGAGCGGCCGAUGUCAGAUUAGGUAGUUGGUGGGGUAAAGGCUCACCAAGCCAACGAUCUGUAGCUGGUCUGAGAGGACGACCAGCCACACUGGGACUGAGACACGGCCCAGACUCCUACGGGAGGCAGCAGUGGGGAAUUUUGGACAAUGGGCGCAAGCCUGAUCCAGCAAUGCCGCGUGCAGGAAGAAGGCCUUCGGGCUGUAAACUGCUUUUGUACGGAACGAAACGGCUCUGGUUAAUACCCGGGGCUAAUGACGGUACCGUAAGAAUAAGCACCGGCUAACUACGUG